RNAcentral lists this ribosomal RNA (459 nucleotides) under uncultured bacterium. RNAcentral describes it as "partial 16S ribosomal RNA". It matches the Rfam family "Bacterial small subunit ribosomal RNA", at positions 338 to 795 of the family's 1533-position model. The record is from RNAcentral.
CCUACGGGUGGCAGCAGUAGGGAAUAUUGCUCAAUGGGGGAAACCCUGAAGCAGCAACGCCGCGUGGGGGAAGAAGGUACAGCGUAUCGUAAACCUCUUUUGUCAGGGAACAAAGGCGGGGACUAGUCCCCGGAUGAGGGUACCUGAAGAAAAAGCAUCGGCUAACUCCGUGCCAGCAGCCGCGGUAAUACGGAGGAUGCGAGCGUUAUCCGGAUUUAUUGGGUUUAAAGGGUGGGCAGGCGGCCUGUUAAGUCAGCGGUAAAAGCCCGGGGCUCAACCCCGGAGAGCCGUUGAAACGGGCGGGCUGGAGUGGGAGAGAGGUACGCGGAAUGCGCGGUGUAGCGGUGAAAUGCUUAGAUAGCGCGCAGAACCCCGAUUGCGAAGGCAGCGUACCGGCUCUACACUGACGCUGAGGCACGAAAGCGUGGGUAUCGAACAGGAUUAGAUACCCCAGUAGUC